Peromyscus californicus insignis is the source of this 3241-nucleotide long non-coding RNA. RefSeq lists it as uncharacterized. The transcript is spliced from 2 exons. Lineage: Eukaryota; Metazoa; Chordata; Mammalia; Rodentia; Cricetidae. The record is from RefSeq and is a predicted model, not a curated record.
CAGUCAUAAAGAAUUAGAUGUGGAAGCUGAAAAACACAAUGAAUGAAAGAGAAAGAAGAAGGAAGAAAGUUGACUUAGAGGCAAAAAAGGGAUUACUAGGGACUAGGAAAGGUUCCAGGAUGUGAUGUGAUGUGAUGUGUGUGUGUGUGUGUGUGUGUGUGUGUGUGUGUGUGUGUGUGUGUAUGGUGUGUGUAUGGUGUGUGUGGUAUGUGUGUGUGUAUGGUGUAUGUGGUAUGUAUAUGUGUGUAUGAUGUGUGUGUGUGGUGUGUAGUGUGUGUGUACUGAGUGUUGUUUAGAUGAAGAGUGGAUGGACACAGCCCCCGCACAAUGUAUGUCCGUAUGGAAGUCUCACUGGGAAUCCCAUUUGUCAGUACAAUUAAGAAUGUCUGCAAGGAGGUGGUUCAUUUUGAUCUCCAAGUUGACAGCAUGUCGAGUCACCUGGAGACCAAGCUCUGGGUGUUCCUUUGAAGGCUUUCCUAGAACCAGUUAACUGAGGUAGGAAGGCCCACCAGGAACGUGGGCAGCACCAUCUCCUAGUCUGGGGUCCCAGACUGACUUGGGAAGAGAAAGCAGGCUGGGUACAACUUGAUCUCUCUCUGCUUCCUGACAGCAGAUGCAGUGCGGCCAGCCGUCCCACACUCCUGCCAUGGCGCCUUCCCCGCCAUGAUGGACUCUAACCUCCCACCCUGAGCCAACAGAAACCCUUCCUUCCUUAAGUGGCUUCUACCCCUGGAUAUUUUGUCACAGCAGUGAGAAAAGUAUCUAAUAAAAUAGCAAUAAUACGAAAUUUUAAUUUUUUGAAGAGAAAAUAACGUUGAAUUUUAUAUAAGAAAUACCUUUUUAGUGUAAGACAAUUUUUUAUGUUAUAUAUAACACUAAAAAACUAUUGCUUAUCUGAAAUUCAAAUUUAACUGGGUGUCCUAUAAUUUUAUUUGAAAAAAAUGGCAACUCCUAAUAGGAAUUUAUUGGCAAACCACACAAAGGGAAAAGUUGUUUUUUCCAAGCUGGGAUGCUGUACAGGUGAGGUUUUUUUUUUUUCUUUUUUGUAUUUUUUUUUGUCAAGUUGACACAGCUAGAGUCAAAUUGGAAGAGGAUUCUCGAUGGAGAAAAGACCUCUAUCAGAUUGCCUGUCUGUGGAGUCUUUUCUUGUUUAGGGGUCAAUAUGAGAGGGUCCAGCUCACUGUGGGCAUGUUACCCCUGGGCCAGUGGUCCCGGCUUGUACAAGAAAGCUGAGCAAGCCACAAGGAGCAAGCCAUAAGCACUAUUUGUCCAUGGUCUCUCUUCAGCUCCAGCCUCCAGGUUCCUGCCUUGAGUCCUUACCUUGACUUCCCUCUGUGAUGGGCAUGUAAGCCAAACGCACCCUUUCCUCCCUAAGCUGGUUUGGUCAUAACACUUAUCACUGCAAUAGAAAGCAAACUAGAAAAGAUACUGUAUUCAGAGAUGGAGGAGCCAUCUCUGAGUGGCACAGACCACAGUUGUCCAGACUGGGGAUGGAAGACAUGAUAUUCCUCCCAGGUGUGACAGAGCCCUGGAAAUAAUAGUUGGUAAUGACACAGUAGUGUUCUGGUUAUCCAACACCAAGCCACCUCAAAACUCCGCUAAAUAAACCAAUAAUUUAUUAUCUCUCACGCCUCCAUGGAGUUCAUGAGCUCAUCUGGGCAAUUAAUUUUUGCUUAGUCUCUCUCCUACCACUGCAGGUAGAUGUUAACUGGGGUUGUGAACACCUGAGCUCUCCAAUAUGGGCCCUGUCUUCCAUAUUCAUGGGAGUUUUACACCCCUUACUUAUUUUUCUUUUGUUUGUGUGUGUCAGCAGAGAGAGAGAGAGAGAGAGAGAGAGAGAGAGAGAGAGAGAGAGAGAGAGAGAGAGUGUAAGUGAGCAUGCACAUGUGUGCAUAUGGAGGCCAGAGGUCUUUUCAGGAGUCAUCCACCUUGUUUAUAGAAGCAGGGUCUCUAUCUGGUCUGUUGCUCACCAAGUAGUCUUCUGACUGGCCAGGGAUCUACAUGUCUUUACUUCCCAGCACUGGACUUAGAAGCCUUCACUGAUAAAACAUCACAUACUCCCUCCUCCCCGCAGCCCAGACUCUCCAGCACUGAGGACCGCCUGCUGCAGUGGUGACGGUGUUCCCAAAGGAACCUAAUCCGUUCUGUAUUUUUCCAGACCAGAUGACAAAUGUUCCUAGUGCUCCUUCAUAAAACCCCCACAAGAUUUCCAUCCUUUUCAGCAUCUUAGUUCCCAAACUGAGAAAAGAAUCUGGUUUUGACUAAUUGACACAGAAAAAAAAAAUCACAGAUUUUUUUUUUAAUUUACUGAACAUGCCAUUAUAUUCUGUAUCAGGGAUGUUUUCAUAUGUAUCUGAUGUGGAAGACUUUUAAGAAUUGACAGAACUGUUCAAAGUGCAGAGAAUUAGUGCCUGUGGAGUGCUCAGCCACUAAUGGAAUAUCUAUAUCACACCCCUCCCACCAAGGCUCAGGGACUGUCUUUGAUAAGGGGAUGGAAGAUUCUAAGAGCCAGAGGUCAGAAGGACUGGAGUGAAGCAGUUCCUGUCCUCUGGACAUGACAGAACUGUUGCACACAUCGACUCACAGCAGCUGCAGCUGCCUGCACGAGACCUGCACAAGAUCAAGCCACUCAAGGCCCAGCCUGGAGGAUGAAGGCGCUCAUGAAGCCCCACUUCUGGCUGCGGAGCUGUUGGCAGUUGACAGCUGCUGGGGAAUGGAGAAUCAGUUUUCUCUUUGAUAGUGUAGACCUUGGGAGGUCAACCAUGUUCCAGUUAAUGGCCUCAUACUCAGGACUAUGUAAACAACACAAAUUAGAACCAGCAGGCUAUUGGUGGGGGACAUGAAGUUGGGAGGGGGUGGUGAUUGGAGGUAGUCCUGGAAGGAGUGAGGGUUGAAGAGAGGGGUCAAUAUAGUCAAAAGACAUUGUAUUUAUGUGUGAAAUUCUAAAAAAAUUAAUAUAUAUAUUAUUAUAUAUAUGGAGAGAGAGAGAGAGGUGUGUACUUUUUCAGUUUGUAAAAUGCAGGAAUCAAGUGCAAAAGCUUGAUAAGUUCUUAUAUCUGUCAUCCAUGUAAUCACUUCUCAGGAGAUCCCUUAAUAGAAUAUUCUACUGCCUCCAAAGACCCUUGUAGCCCCCUCCACGCCAUCAGUCCUGACAAAGGUAAUUCCUGUUGUACCUUCUAUCACUAUUAGCAUUCUGUUGCUGUGAGAAAAUACCUGAGUUAAAUUAAAAACAAGAGAAUUA